UUAGUUUUUUUGGGUUCCAUUGUAACCACUCAAAGAUGUGCGGUCUUGUUUAUGAGAAUUUGAAAACCACUCAAAGAUAUGCAGUCUUUUAACCACUCAAAGAUAUGCAGUGAUAGUGAAUUAAGUGGUUUUCAUCUACGAUCUUUACAUGCUAAUUUUUCCUCUGGUUUUAUGGGUUGGUUUUUAAACCACACAAAAGAUAUGUGGUUUUGUUUAAGCGGUUUUGAGUUGGGAACAUAUUCGGUGGUUCUGUAUUAAGUGGUUUUUUCCUAUGCUCAUGUGCUACAUAGGUAAUGUGUUUUUCAACAUUUUUUUUUGUGAAAACCAAAAAAAUGUAAUUGUGUAUUUUUAGGUAAAUUUGUUUGGUUUUGUAAAUUGUUGUUUCAGUGUAAAAAAUAUGUUUAAGUGAAUACGGUUUUUGAUUUUUGUAAACGUGUUAUCAUUUUAAUUAGUUUUUUUGGGUUCCGUUGUAACCACUCAAAGAUAUGCAGUAUUGUUUAUGGGAAUUUGAAUUGUGAACAUAUGCCAACUAUGAUCUUGUUUAAGUGGUUUUCAUUCAUGAUCUUUACAUGCUAAAUUUUCCGCUGGUUUUAUGGAUUGGUUUUUAAACCACACAAAAGGUAUGUGGUUUUGUUUACGAGGUGUUAAUUAUGUACAUGUCUUGACUAUGUUCAAUGGUAUUAUCUUAAGUGAUUUUCAUUAUUGUUACUGUGCUAAGUAGGUUAUGUGGGUGCUGGCUUUGUGAAACCGAAAAAAAAAGUUGUAGGUGGUUCUGAAUUACAUAUCUCUAAAAAAGACGCGGUGGAUAAGACGGGGAGAUAUCACAAACUUGAUCUCCCGUAUGACGAAGAAGUGGUUUUAAUGAAUGAUGCUCUGCAAUAGAAGAGUGACAAUGUCGACUGCGGGGUCGUUGUGUGCUACAUUGUGAGGCAAUAUUUUGAAAAUAAAAUUAUUACAAAAGCACAAGGCGUGAA
Molecule: non-coding RNA, 974 nt
Organism: Erythranthe guttata (spotted monkey flower)
Lineage: Eukaryota; Viridiplantae; Streptophyta; Magnoliopsida; Lamiales; Phrymaceae
Source: RefSeq, a predicted model, not a curated record